UACGGGGGCAGCAGUGGGGAAUUUGGACAAUGGGGAAACCCCGAUCCAGCCAUCCUGGCGUGUGCGAUGAAGGCCUUCGGGUUGUGGUAAAGCACUUUGGCAGGAAGAAACGGCACGGAUAAUACCCUGCGCAACUGACGGUACCUGCAGAAUAAGCACCGGCUAACUACGUGCCAGCAGCCGCGGUAAUACGUAGGGUGCAAGCGUUAAUCGGAAUUACUGGGCGUAAAGCGUGCGCAGGCGGUUCGGAAAGAAAAGAUGUGAAAUCCCAGAGCUUAACUUUGGAACUGCAUUUUUGGGUUCAAUGAGCUAGAGUGUGUCAGGGAGGGAGGUGGAAUUCGCGUAGCAGUGGGAAUGCGUAGAUAUGCGGAGGAACACCGAUGGCGAAGGCAGCCUCCUGGGAUAACACUGACGCUCAUGCGCGAAAGCGUGGGGAGCAAACAGGAUUAGAUACUCCGUAGU
This 462-nucleotide unclassified non-coding RNA is filed under the name uncultured Bordetella sp. RNAcentral describes it as "partial 16S-23S ribosomal RNA intergenic spacer". It matches the Rfam family "Bacterial small subunit ribosomal RNA", at positions 340 to 794 of the family's 1533-position model. The record is from RNAcentral. Lineage: Bacteria; Pseudomonadati; Pseudomonadota; Betaproteobacteria; Burkholderiales; Alcaligenaceae.